GACGAACGCUGGCGGCGUGCUUAACACAUGCAAGUCGAACGGAAAGGCCCUGCUUUUGUGGGGUGCUCGAGUGGCGAACGGGUGAGUAACACGUGAGUAACCUGCCCUUGACUUUGGGAUAACUUCAGGAAACUGGGGCUAAUACCGGAUAGGAGCUCCUGCUGCAUGGUGGGGGUUGGAAAGUUUCGGCGGUUGGGGAUGGACUCGCGGCUUAUCAGCUUGUUGGUGGGGUAGUGGCUUACCAAGGCUUUGACGGGUAGCCGGCCUGAGAGGGUGACCGGCCACAUUGGGACUGAGAUACGGCCCAGACUCCUACGGGAGGCAGCAGUGGGGAAUAUUGCACAAUGGGCGGAAGCCUGAUGCAGCAACGCCGCGUGCGGGAUGACGGCCUUCGGGUUGUAAACCGCUUUCGCCUGUGACGAAGCGUGAGUGACGGUAAUGGGUAAAGAAGCACCGGCUAACUACGUGCCAGCAGCCGCGGUGAUACGUAGGGUGCGAGCGUUGUCCGGAUUUAUUGGGCGUAAAGGGCUCGUAGGUGGUUGAUCGCGUCGGAAGUGUAAUCUUGGGGCUUAACCCUGAGCGUGCUUUCGAUACGGGUUGACUUGAGGAAGGUAGGGGAGAAUGGAAUUCCUGGUGGAGCGGUGGAAUGCGCAGAUAUCAGGAGGAACACCAGUGGCGAAGGCGGUUCUCUGGGCCUUUCCUGACGCUGAGGAGCGAAAGCGUGGGGAGCGAACAGGCUUAGAUACCCUGGUAGUCCACGCUGUAAACGGUGGGUACUAGGUGUGGGGUUCAUUCCACGGGUUCCGUGCCGUAGCUAACGCUUUAAGUACCCCGCCUGGGGAGUACGGCCGCAAGGCUAAAACUCAGAGGAAUUGACGGGGCCCCGCACAAGCGGCGGAGCAUGCGGAUUAAUUCGAUGCAACGCGUAGAACCUUACCUGGGUUUGACAUGGAUCGGGAGCGCUCAGAGAUGGGUGUGCCUCUUUUGGGGUCGGUUCACAGGUGGUGCAUGGCUGUCGUCAGCUCGUGUCGUGAGAUGUUGGGUUAAGUCCCGCAACGAGCGCAACCCUUGUUCACUGUUGCCAGCACGUUAUGGUGGGGACUCAGUGGAGACCGCCGGGGUCAACUCGGAGGAAGGUGGGGAUGACGUCAAGUCAUCAUGCCCCUUAUGUCCAGGGCUUCACGCAUGCUACAAUGGCUGGUACAGAGAGUGGCGAGCCUGUGAGGGUGAGCGAAUCUCGGAAAGCCGGUCUCAGUUCGGAUUGGGGUCUGCAACUCGACCUCAUGAAGUCGGAGUCGCUAGUAAUCGCAGAUCAGCAACGCUGCGGUGAAUACGUUCCCGGG
This 1343-nucleotide ribosomal RNA is filed under the name uncultured bacterium. Its description in RNAcentral is "16S ribosomal RNA". It matches the Rfam family "Bacterial small subunit ribosomal RNA", at positions 28 to 1378 of the family's 1533-position model. The record is from RNAcentral.